This 435-nucleotide ribosomal RNA is filed under the name Triticum aestivum (bread wheat). RNAcentral's name for it is "partial small subunit ribosomal RNA". The record is from RNAcentral. Lineage: Eukaryota; Viridiplantae; Streptophyta; Magnoliopsida; Poales; Poaceae.
UAUGAUGGUUCGGUCGAUCCUCUUGGUUGGCUCCAUAGGUGUGAGCAGUUUUUCGGUGGACAGCAUACGGCUGAAGCUGACAAGGUCUGGACUACAGCGUACCACCUCACCAAUGAUGCUCAGUUCUGGUACUUACAGCUCGAGCGCGAUUUCGGCAUGCCGACAUGGGAGCAGUUUAAGGAAGCUUGCCAUGUUCAGUUUGGGCCGUCACUCCGUGUCAAUCCUUUGGGCGAGUUAGCACGUCUGCCAUUCACUUCCUCGGUUGUUGAAUACACCAGCAAGUUUCUAGCGCUCAUGUGUCGCAACAAUGAGCCAUUAACACCAUCCCAACAACGGUUUCUAUACACAGCAGGGCUGCCCGAUGGUCUUCGUGUUGACGUCGAACUUCAACGGCCAUCUGGCCUCCACCCGCCACUCCUUCGCCAAGGCCUAUGA